Molecule: long non-coding RNA, 9834 nt
Organism: Gorilla gorilla gorilla (western lowland gorilla)
Lineage: Eukaryota; Metazoa; Chordata; Mammalia; Primates; Hominidae
Exons: 4
Source: RefSeq, a predicted model, not a curated record
GACUGCACAGAUGGAACAUGGAAAGGCUUUUAACAGAAAUGAAUACUUUCAGACCAGUUUUGAAGGACUGAGUAGGAGUAAACUAAAAGAGAAAAAGCAGGACAAAAGAAGCACCACUUUGGAAGCUCAAAGCCGCACUGGAAACACAGUCUUUCAGGAUGUCUGAAAGGGGCAAGUCUGUUUGUGUGGGGUAAGAAAUGCGGGGAGACAAACGGACAGUGGACAGAUUGCAGAGAGCUCUGUGUGCUGAGAGGAGGGUGCAGACCAGAUUUUUAAAUUGAGAAUGCAACAGUGAAGGAUUUCAAGCUUGGAGUGAGAGGGGAGACUACGAGCCUGCAGUGAUAAGGCAAAGCUGAAGAUUUCAGAGCCAAGGCCACACCCUACAGUUGCCAUGGAAUGGGGUGGCACAGUGGGCUUUGGAGGUAAAGUCUGCAGUUGAGAAGUUCAAGGGUAGUAAGUACUUAAUGCCAGGUCAAUCAUCCCUUUUAAGACACAGAUAUCAUCUGCAGCGUUUUCAGGAACAGUGAUAGAGAAGAAAAGCAGGCAGCUACUAGAUAUUCAAAUCUUCCGCAAAUGUCAUGGAGAGAGUCAGGCAGUUGGUAGAAGAGACCUGUAAAGCUGGGUACCAUAAGCCUCAACACAGGUGUUUUUAUUUCAAGGCUGGGGAGCUGUGCUUUGGAAAAGCAAUGAGGAGGUAACAGGAAGUCUCUUCUCCUUCUAAAUCCUGUGUUCAUGGAGGAGGGUGGGUUUUCUCCUCUUGAGAGGGAGUUACAUACAAGUUUAAGGGAAAAGAGUCUGAAGUUUCCAUCUAAAUGAUUCUGAAAGAAUCAGGAAUCAAAGCUGGAGGAGCGGAAGAGAUACAGGGAGUCCACGGAACCUUCCCUGCAAGCAUCAGUACAGAAGUCGAUGAUAAUCUGGAUGCAAGCCCAGGAGUGUGGAGUCCACUGACUCAGAAGACCUGCAUCUAAGGAAUUGGCUGUCCUUAUCCCUAAGAAUGAUGACUGUGUUUCCAAUUCCAGUAGACCCUUUGAUGCAUUCUGAAUGAAUAUUCCUUUUGGAAUUGAACUUCUAGAGCCCUUAACUUUGGCCCACUCUAGUUUUCUGUCUGUUUUUUUUUUAAUAAUUUUUUUUGUAAAGAUAAGGUCUUGCUUUGUUGCCCAGGCUGGUCUUGAAUUCCUGGACUCAAGCAAUCCACCUGCCUUGGCCUCCCAAAGUGCUGGGAUUAUAGGUGUGAACCAUUGUGUCCGAUCGCUCUCUGGUUUUUCUAACAUCAUGUUAUCCCAACUCUGUUCUUUAUGUAAAUUUCCCUGAUCACAUGGUUGUAUCUUGGCAUUUCAAAAUCCUUGACAGACUUUGUUUUGUUUGAAUUUUACAAUGAACUUACAUGACUAGGCAUGGUCCCCAGUUCAGUUUUAUAGACAAGGAUUCUGUAGGUCAAGAAGUGAAACACAACCAAUAACAGCAGGUGACAUGAUUUAAACCUGGGUCACUUUACUUAUUUUUUUCUACUCUAUCAUUAUGUGAAUCUAUCCUACCUCUGCAAUGACAGAUGGCCCUAGAGCAAGAACACUUCCUUACAUCUGGUAUACAGUCAAAAAGUAAAAAUUCCACACAAAUAAAUAUGGAAAGAAUUUUUACCUGCUCCUAUAGCUUCCUUUCAGGGACCUGGCACCCACAAAUGUUGGGUAACAGAAAGAGGACUUAUGUAACUUAACUCAAAGCAGAAAAGUUACAGAGACUGUCUUAGCAUAAUAGAGCAUGGAGUGGUCAUGCUUGGAUGUGCAAACUGUCUGAUGGUCUUGCACAUGGCUUGACCCUGAAUUACACUAGUGGGGCAAGUUGCCUGGGGCAAAGCAAACUUAUUGGACCCAAAGCUCUCCUUUGAGAAUUUUGUUGCCUAAAAGUUAUAAAAUAUCAGCAAUUUCAUAUGGUUCAGCCUAAUAUUUUAUCACUCUUCCUUUUUCUAUUCUAAAACAAUAAUUUUUAAUAAGGUAAGCUAUACACAUACAUGCUUUAAACAUACAACACCCUGACUAUCAUAUAGUGGAUAUUUCAAGAAGUAAAUGUUCAGCAUGUCUUCACCCCCACUUGAAGACAUAAUGUAUGUAUUAGGCUGUUAUGGCAUUGCUAUAAAGAAAUACCUGAGACUGUGUAAUUUAUAAGAAAAGAGCUUUAAUUGGCUCACGGUUCUGCAGGCUGUGCAGGAAACAUAUUGGGUCUACUUCUGUGGAGGCUUCAGGGAACUUUGACUCAUGGUGGAAGGUGAAAUGGGAGCAGGCACCUCAUGUGACUGAAGCAGGAGCAAGAAAGAGAGAGCGAGCGAGGUGCCACACACUCUUAAAACUACCAGAACUCUCUCUUGAGAAUUCACUCACUGUCUUGCCGUCAGCACCAAAGGGAUGGUCCUAAACCAUUCAUGAGAAAUCCUCCUCCAUGAUCCAAUCACCUCUCACCAGGCCCUACCCCCAACACUGGGAUUACAAUUCAACCUGAGAUUUGGGCCUGGACACAGAUCCAAACCCUAUCAAUAUAUUAGCCAGACACUUGGAGCUGUAUGAAGAAUACCCUGGUUACCCAGCUACAAAUGCAGAUGUUAUUGAUAAGGGAGGGGGGCAGGGAAGUGCUGGGAGGAGAAAGGCAGGUCUCUGGCGAGGGCUUCACCCCGGUGCCUGUGCCCACAGACCUAGGUAAGGGCAGGCACUCCUGCCUUUGCGCCCAAAUGUUGCAUUUCCCAAGACCACCCUGGCCCGCCACGCCCCCAUCCUGUGCCUAUAAAAACCCUGAGACACUAGUGGGCACUCACACAAGCUGCUGGACGUCCAGAAGACGUCAACAAGAGCACGCCGACAGGCAGACCCUGGCAGGCCAUCGACUGGCGGAAGGACAUGGAGUUUGGCUGCGUGGUUGGAGAAGAGCCAGGCCGCUAGGUGGCCUGACUCCAGGAAAAUACACCUUCCCACUCCAUCUCCCUUCUGUCUCCCCUGUCUGCUCACAGCUACUUCCUCUCAAUAAAACCUUGAACUCAUUCUCCAAGCCCACGUGUGAUCUGAUUCUUCUGGUACACCAAGGCAAGGACCCUGGGAUACAGAAAGUCCUCUGUCCUUGAGAUAAGCCAGGGGGUCUAAUUGAGCUGACUAACACAAGUCGCCUACAGAUGGCAAAACUAAAAGAGCACCCUGUAACACACGUGUGCCCACUGGGGCUUCAGCUGUAAACAUUCACCCCUAGACACUGCUCUUGGGUUGGAGCCCCACAGCCCAGCCGUCCGCAUGCUCCCCUAGAGGUUUGAGCAGUGGGGCACGGAAGAAGCGAGCCACUCCUCCUGUUGCACACCCUGCGGGUGGCGCAAGGGAACGUUUCCUGUUUCAUCAUCAGGGAUAUUGUAUCGGUGUCUUAAAUAACACUAGCAUUUUGACAUAUUUGGAGCUGCUACUGGGCCAGCUCUGUUUCCAGGCCUGCCUUUCAAUCUUUUCCUUGCUUCUGGCAUGAGUUACCAUCUCUUUUGAGAAAUCGGUUACGCAUUUGAAAAUACACGUAGCUAUACAUACUUUAAACAUAUCAUUUAGCAAGGAUGCUCCUUAUCGGACCGUCUUUCACGUUGCUGGGAACAGAGAACACGACAGUUCCAGACUGUUUCCAAGAUUGGAUGAAGAGAAUCAAUUGACAAUGCUGUGAAGAGAGGGAUUUGGAGCGUGUUGGGGGAGGUAGUGUUGACUUCCUUGUGCAAUCUAGGAUUGAGUGGGGGAUGCAGUUGGAAGGCAAGAGAAGUAAGACUCCUCCAUCUUCCUGUUCCAGAGGAAUUAUGCUGGAUCCCCCUACCCUUAAUGAGAAAGGAGGUGUUUGUGUUUCCAGCAUCUUUGAGAUCUGAUUGCUAAUGUAGCUACCUUUAAAGAAUUCUGCUGUUUACAAUAAAAGUGAGAUCUCCCUCCUCCAUCCUGUGUUACACAGCCUGGGAUUGCACCAUUGUUCCUGGCACCUUUGCAUUGCAGGAGCCUGCCUUUGACUUUCUUUCCUCUCCGCACAUCUUCUAUUCCUGCUGCUUCUCUUUUCAGAAAGUGCUGAGCUUCUAGGCUAGUGUCCCUCCCAAUGGAUGAAUAUUCAGCAAAGAAUGGAGAGCUCUCUACCGUAAAAAUCAGGAUGUGGCUGUUUAUAAAGUUAUUGCAUUUUUUUUGAAGAGUGGCUGCAAUUAGUUUUGGUGUUAGGCAGCAAAAACCCCAAAAUGUUCUUUUUGAUUUCGUGUUGCUUGCAUAAUACAGUACCCAUUUAGUGGAAGAAAUCUUCAUGGGUAAGUGUAUGAGUGUGUAUGCAUAAGUAUGUGUGUGUGUGUGUGUGUGUGUGUGACUCCACAUAUAUUUCUAGAGUGCCUUCUAUGUGCCAGGCAUGGUGUUAGUUGACAUAUGUAAUUGAGAGUAAAACAGUCGUGAUCUCUGCUCUUAACCAAUUUACAAUCUGGGAUAAAAUAGACCUUCCAUGUUCAAAUCUACAAUGACAUUAAUUGCAAUAUGAUCGUUGUUGUGUUUGAAUAAUAGCUAAGAAAAGCACAAAGAACUUACAAGGUGGCUUAACAGAAGAACCUCAUCUAGCUUAGAAGUCUGGAUAGCCCCUUUCUAAGAAAGCGGUAUGAGUAAGGAUGAAUAGGAAUAGGCCAGAUAAAAUACGAAGCCAGGAGUUGGAGGUGGACACGGGGGAGGGAGGUGACAUUGUACUGAUGGAGAGAUGUGGAGAGCUGAGGAGGCUGAUGAAUUUAGAGAAAGCUGAAGUGUCACUGGAUUGCAGUUCUUGAUAGGUAGAAGUGUUGUAUGAGGGGACGAAAACAAGGCCAUUGGAAAGGGAAGUUGAAGAUGGUGGUGGUGGUGUUGUGAAGGUAUUUAUAUUAUUGCAGAUUAUCUGAAGUGCAGUUUCCAAUGUUGACCAAAUUCAUGGUGUGACUGUGGAAGUUGGUGCUUGAGGUGAAUGAUGACAACUAUCAGUGGGUAUCAGGGUAAGGAACUGCUGGGUGAGGUGUUGAUGGUGCAUCCAAGUGAUGUUAAAUCUGCUUAGCAUGAUGGUAGAGUUGGGUGAAAAGGAGACUAUGAGUCGAGUGCUAAAUUCUUUAAGGAGUGACCAAAUGAUUAAGUGAGGACUAGAGGGAGAAGAAGCUCUUAUUGUCAACUACUCAAAGGAGCAACUUACAAAAGAGAGUGCAGUCGUUCGUCUGCAAGUGGCAUUGGGUAGUCAGGAGGACAUUGCCUUGGUUCUGAUACUGGGAUAUUUGGAGUUUGAUGGAAAACAUCUCCCAGCCCCUGCUUGAGAGGAGAAGCAGUAUCCUUAGGGGACAGUGGGUUUCAGUGAAGUCGAGAAACUGUGGUGUGUGUGUGUGUGUGUGUGUGUGUGUGUGUGUGAUAACUUUGAGAUAAUGAUGGGUUAGAAACAUGUAGAUUAAGGUAAGAAGAGACUAUCCUCAGGCAUUCAUCUAAACUUUGAAUUUCUUCUAGAAACCUCCUCUCAAGUCACAGUCACGUGAUCCAGCAAUUGCGAAAUCACUCUCUUCUAAUGUGUACCAUUUCACUUGGUAGCUCUUUCUGUUCAAUAAAUGAUACUCUAUAUAAUAGACACUUAAACAUUCUAGUAUUUUCUAUGCAAAUGUGUAGAAAAAAGUGUUUGGGGGUAUGAAGUCAGGGUAGGUAGGCUGAAAGAUUAUUUUAUUUAUUUAUAUUUGUUCCUGUAGUGCUCAUGUCAUUUAAAAUACAAAAAUUAGACAUAUAUGUUGGAAAAGUCCAUCAAAACCUGAAAAAUUAAUUUAUAAGCAUUUUAUGCUAUGGUUGGAGUUAUGAAUGUAACUUGUCUGAAGAUGCUUCCUGAUCAUUGUGCUUCAUUUUCUUCUUAUUUGUACUGUAAACAUUGUACAGUUUUUAUCUGACAGAUGAACAUUAGCACUGAAGAAGCAAAUUGAAUAAAAUAUAGGCAUUUAAGUUAAUUUAAAAUGUAAGUUUUAUUUUAUUUUUGGAUGGGGUCUUGACUGCAUCCUGAAAACAUAGCUGGUCUUUUUAUUACCUUAGUGUAAGCUGUGUAGUCAAAAGAAUAGUGGGAAUGGUCACUGUGUGUGGGUAUUGUUCCCGAGGUAAAUUCUGUCCUAGGCAACUACUAACCAAAGGAUCUUUCAGAAAUACUCUCCCAAACCACUGCCCACUGGAUAGCAAACACAGUAUCUAUUUUAGAGGAAAUUAUUGCAUUAGAUUAAAAUGGUUAAAUUGUCUUAACAUGCCAGAUCUUAUCUUUUAAUGAAAACAUUUUUUAUUAACUUUUUUUAAAGAAGUACAACUGCUCUUCAGAUUUCUCCCAUGAGAACUGGAGAUUAAACUUUGAUUUUUCUCCUUUUAUCCUCCCCGACAGAAGCUGUAUAUUUUGAGGAUAACCACUUGGUUAAAAGCAAAUAGCCCUAAAUAAACACAUAUACCUUAAAAUGAAUGAGCAUUUCGGGUAUAGUCUUAGAUUUCACAGUGUCAAACUGACUGGGUUGAGAAAGCCACCAGAAUUUCAUAGCUCAAAGUUCAGGUUUUAUACAGGAUUUAUAUGUCCUGUAGAAUAUUUUGUUUGCUGCAGUUUGAAAUGAUAGUAUCUUCUUCUCUAGGAAACUAAUGUUUAACAGAUAAGUGCAACCAGAUUGCUAACAGGAGCUGCAGGAAAAAAUUUCACCAUUUUGAAUGGGGUUUGUGUUUACCAAUACACAAAAUGUAUGCCUGUAUUAUCCAUUAUGUGAAAAUAUCCAUAAUUGUUAGAAAGAUAAAACCCAUGUUUGCCAGGAAAAAUCAAUUUUUUCCAUAUCUCUCUCUGUGCACUGUGGUUUUACAAUUUCCUUUUCAUUUUUAAUGGUGUUUUCUGUUUAAAAAAGCUUAUUGGAAAAAAUUAAACAAAAAUUGUAUACAUUUAUUGUGUACCAUGUAAUAUUUUAAAAUAUGCAUAUAUUUGGAAUGGCUAAAUGUAGCUAAUUUUCAUAUUCAUAUUUGUGAUUUUUGUGGUGAGGACACUUAAAAUCUACUCUCUUAGAAAUUUUCCAGAAUACAAUACUGUACAUUGUUAUUAACUGUAGUCACCAUAUUGCACAAUAGAACUCUUGGACUUACUCCUCCUGUCCAGUUGAAAUUUUGUAUACUUUGACAAACAUCUCUCCAACCUCCACCUCUCUCCCCACCAUUUCCUUGUAACCGCCAUUCUACUUUCUGCUUCUGAGAGUUCAACUUGGUUAGAUUCCACGUGUGAUAUUUGUCUUUCUGUGCCUGGCUUAUUUCACUUAACAUAAUGUCCUCCAAGUUCACCCAUGUUUCACAAAUGACAGAGUUUCUUUUUUAAGGCUGAAUAGUAUUCCAUUGUGCAUAUAUAUCACAUUUCCUUUAUCCAUCCCUCCAUUGUUGGACAUUUAGGCUGAUUCCAUCUUUUGGCUAUUAUGAAUAAUGCUGCAAUGAACAUGGGAGUGCAGAUAUCUCUUUGACACAUGGAUUUCAUUUCCAUUGGACAUAUGCGGUAUGCUCAGAGAUGAGAUUGGUGGAUCAUAUGGUAGUUCUUUUCAAAUUUUUUUGAAGAAUCUCCAUAUGGGUUUCCAUAAUGGAUGUACCAGUUUAUAUUCCCAUGUGCAUUGUUUUCUGACAUUGAUAAAGCUGUAGAUCUAUUCAUUUCACAAACCUUUAUUGUGUGCUUACUACACAAAAGCAUAAUGGGAGGCACAGUUGAUACAAAUAAAAGGCACGGUCUUCCUCAGAAGCAGAUACGAUAACUAUUUAUUAAACAAAGAUGGCGGAGGUGGGCAACUGACCACAUGUGAGAAGAGUAACAAGGAGAGUGGAAUCUAGGAUGAUGUAUAUUUUGGCUUGGGCUAUUGAGCUGAUGGGGAAUAUAUAUUUUUUGAAGUGAAAUAUACUGUCACCUUAUUUCUAAGUAGGGUCAAGUUGGAAGCCAAAUAAAACUUUCCAAUAUUGGUUCUUCUAGCACGUUAAUAAAAUGUACUUUGUGAUUAUGAGCAGCUGGUUUGAAGACUGAUUCAUUUCUACUCCUGUUACCUUGAUAAAUAAGAAGUAAAUUUCAUGGACAAGAACUCAUCAUUUGAAAUAGAUGGUAACAGUUGGAUUGUCGUUGAUUACAUGAGGUGAUUUACAAGGAGGUCCAGCACAUGCAUGUAGUGUGCUAAUCCUUGCCACGUCAGUUUUCUGUUAAUUAAUACAAACGUUGUUGUGUAGUUUUUGGUAUUCUGACUCAAAUUGAGAAAAUGUAUACACUUUUAUAUACAUGUAUUAAUGUAAAACUUGCACCUGGAAAAGCAGAGGUUUCUAAUAAAUUAGCCAACAUUUUCUUUGAAGAAUUCUUGGUACCCUGAAGUACUUUCUCUAAUGAUUGAAUUGUUAUUGUUGGAAGCCAAUUCUCCACAGACUUUUUGUAUUUCUGUAUCUCUUGUGAGUGAGCAACUAACUGUCCUUCAUUCUUAACUAUCUUUUCAGGGAUAUUUGUAUUGUGAACAGUCUUGGAACAUAGAGCCAGUGUCUCUCUCUGGAGCAAAGGCCAGGCAUGCUCACUGCCCAUUAUAAAGGAUUCAGAUUCCCUAAAUUCAAUAUUCCUCUUCUAUAGCACAAUCACUGAACAUGUAGGUACCAUCUGGUUCUCUUUGCAUCACAUUGCAAAAAUGGAGGCCUGGUUAACUGGUACAAAAAAUGCUAAUACUUUUGCUACUGCUAUUGUCGUGAGUACCAAACUAUUCUUUGUCUGUGACCCAGGAGUCUAGUGUCUUCUACCAGCAUUCAUGAAACUUUUGUCAGGCUAACUUGUUAGUUUGCAAGAAGGGUGAACUCUCAGACCCUUCGCGGUUUUUGUUUUUGUUUGUUUGUUUGUUUCGUUUUGUUUUGUUUUUUGAGAUGGGGUAUUGCUCUGUCGCCCAGGCUGGAGUGCAGUGGUGUGAUCUCAGCUCACUGCAACCUCUGCCUCCUGGGUUCAAGCUAUUCUCCUGCCUCAGCCUCUCGAGUAGCUGGGACUACAGGCGUGUGUGACCACGCCCGGCUAAUUUUUUGUAUUUUUAGUAGAGACGGGGUUUCACCGUGUUAGCCAGGAUGGUCUCAAUCUCCUGACCUCGUGAUCCACCCGCCUCGGCCUCCCAAAGUGCUGGGAUUACAGGCGUGAGCCAUGGUGCCCGGCCUCCUUCGCAGUUUUUGAUGGUUAAUGCACUUUAGUGUCUUAUCUUCCAAUCCGUAGACUCUAUUCUACCAUAAAAUAGGAAACAUUCCAACUUUUCCAGCAUUGAGAGGAUGGAACUCUAAGUUGUAGAUUGACAUGGUUUGGCUGUGUCCCCACCGAAAUCUCAACUUGAAUUGUAGCUUCCAGAAUUCCCAAGUGUUGUAGGAGGGACUUAGGGGGAGGUAAAUGGAUCAUGGGGACUGGUCUUUCCUGUGCUAUUCUUGUGACAGUGAAUACGUCUCACGAGAUCUGAUGGGUUUAUGAGGGUUUUCUGCUUUUGUUUCUUCCUCAUUUUUCUCUUGCUGCCACCAUGUAAGAUGUGUUUUUCACCUCCUGCUAUGAUUCUGAGGCCUCCCCAGCCAUGUGGAACUGUUAGUCCAUUAAACCUCUUUUUCUUCCCAGUCUCGGGUAUGUCUUCAUCAGCAGUGUGAAAACAGACUGAUACAUAGAUGAAAUUACAAAAAGUCAAAAACUACUACAUCUGCUUGUCCUUGUGAUUGCAAAUGAAUAUGGUGCCUAUGAUACCUCACAUUUAUUACAUAUCACGAUUUUUGAAACCUCUCACUGAGAAAUAUUGGAGUGUAAGUGUACAUUUAAAGCAAUGGCUUUUGUGAAAUGUGAAUAUUUACUACCACUCAU